RNAcentral lists this non-coding RNA (253 nucleotides) under Bacillus sp. (in: firmicutes). RNAcentral describes it as "Bacillus sp. T-box sequence". It matches the Rfam family "T-box leader". Rfam says of the family: Uncharged tRNA acts as the effector for transcription antitermination of genes in the T-box leader family. T-boxes are found upstream of many aminoacyl-tRNA synthetase genes and some amino acid biosynthetic genes usually in Gram-positive bacteria. The record is from RNAcentral. Lineage: Bacteria; Bacillati; Bacillota; Bacilli; Caryophanales; Bacillaceae.
GGAACGGCGUUGAAGAAGAGGAGUAGCUUCCAAUAAUCACUUCAGAGAGCUAGUGGAUGGUGCGAACUAGUGUGAUUAUGGAUGUGAAUGGACUUCCGAGCCUUCAAACCGAAAUCAUUCAAGUAAUGAGAGUAGGCUUUGACGAAUGUCUCAUCGAUACAAGGGACACGUAUUAGAGAAUCGUUCUCUGAUAUGGUAAAGCGGACUGCUAUGCAGUCAACGAAGGUGGCACCACGGGUUUCCCGUCCUUAUU